RNAcentral lists this long non-coding RNA (406 nucleotides) under Homo sapiens (human). Its description in RNAcentral is "non-protein coding lnc-TSSC4-2:2". The record is from RNAcentral. Lineage: Eukaryota; Metazoa; Chordata; Mammalia; Primates; Hominidae.
CCAGUACCCAGUAGUCAUCUGUGCCAGGGGGUUAUCCAGGUACAGAACAUUCCCAUCGUUGCAGAAGGUUCUAUCAGCUAGCACUGGGUUGGACGACACUUGCCAAGACGAGCUGGCUAGAGGAUGGUUCUCCGGACCUGGUCCCACGUGGUUCCCAGGUUCCAGCCCCGGAGAGCAAUGUGAGCAAAGCUUGCUGUCUUUGCAAAGCCAACCACUGUGGCAUCAACUCCUUCAGGAAGCCCUCCCGGAUUGUCCAAGGCGCGGCCCUGCUGCCACCCCCUUGGGGGCUCGGAGCGCGACAGCAGCUUGGGGACGCCUCCCGCGCCCAGCACGGUGCACCUGGGCCCUGAGGUCCUGGCCGAAACGCGCCAAGUUGGGGGUAGGUGCAGCGACCCCAUACCCCUCG